GGGCCGUUAGCUUCAACUGGAUAGAGCGCACCGCUUCGGACGGUGAGGUUGAGGGUUCAAAUCCUUCACGGCCCACCA
Molecule: transfer RNA, 78 nt
Filed under: Candidatus Pelagibacteraceae bacterium
Lineage: Bacteria; Pseudomonadati; Pseudomonadota; Alphaproteobacteria; Candidatus Pelagibacterales; Candidatus Pelagibacteraceae
Description: tRNA-Arg
Rfam family: tRNA
About the family: Transfer RNA (tRNA) molecules are approximately 80 nucleotides in length. Their secondary structure includes four short double-helical elements and three loops (D, anti-codon, and T loops).
Source: RNAcentral